This 420-nucleotide ribosomal RNA is filed under the name uncultured soil bacterium. RNAcentral describes it as "bacterial SSU rRNA". It matches the Rfam family "Bacterial small subunit ribosomal RNA", at positions 26 to 428 of the family's 1533-position model. The record is from RNAcentral.
AGGAUGAACGCUAGCGGCAGGCUUAAUACAUGCAAGUCGAGGGGCAGCGGGGGUAGCAAUACCUGCCGGCGACCGGCAAACGGGUGCGGAACACGUACACAACUUUCCUUUAAGUGGGGGAUAGCCCAGAGAAAUUUGGAUUAAUACCCCGUAACAUUAUGAGAUGGCAUCAUUUUAUAAUUAAAGCUCCGGCGCUUAAAGAUGGGUGUGCGGCUGAUUAGGUAGUUGGCGGGUAACGCCCACAAGCCUUCGAUCAGUAACUGGUGUGAGAGCACGACCAGUCACGACGGGCACUGAGACACGGGCCCGACUCCGUACGGGAGCAGCAAGGUAAGGAAUAGUUGGUACAAGUGGGACGCAAAGUCUAGGAAACCCAGCCCAAUGCCCGCGUAGAAGGAUAGGAAGGUUCCCUCGUGGUAA